This is a long non-coding RNA of Zalophus californianus (California sea lion), 891 nucleotides long. RefSeq lists it as uncharacterized. The record is from RefSeq and is a predicted model, not a curated record. NCBI's taxonomy places the organism in Eukaryota, Metazoa, Chordata, Mammalia, Carnivora, Otariidae. The transcript is spliced from 3 exons.
GGUGCGGGUGUUCGGCGGUGCUCGGUUGGGUGGUCAGGGUCCUCCGACACCUGGAGGCGUCCUCCCGCUCCGGACCACCCUGGAGUCGCCGUGCCCAAGGCAGGGGUGAGGCGCGUCCCGGGCUUUGGGUUCUCGGGCUGGACCUCGCCUGCACCCGCCUUCUCCUCCGCUGGAGCGGAGCCUGGCCGUCUGAGCGGCUCUGCUGUCAUUUGGCCCAAGGACCCGGGGGUAGGAAAGCGCGACCUGAUUAGAUCCUGCCAGAUUUGGUGGCAGUGGUGAAUUGAAGAGAACUUCUGACAGCUUUGGGAACGAGAAACACAUGAGGCGUGGCACACAUGAACCCUUGGGUUCUCAUCCUGUUCCCAAGGGCUCUUGGGCGGGGACAAUCAAGCCCUGGGAAUGCUCACGCACGAACAUGGUAGUAGACGCGCUGAUGAGAGCAUGCAGUGUGACUCAGUGGCUCGUGCCUAGCCCAGCUGUCUUCAUGCUAGGGCCGCAGCUGUGGAGUGAGCCCAAGCAUCCGCAGAUCUGACCCUAGGAAAUGGCAUUCAUUUGGAAACUUCACACUUUGUCCCAAGUCAUCUUCACUCCGAACUGACUCCACAUUUCUCUGCAAAUAGACUAACUUCCUGAGAUCCCUCUGCUUUUACCAUCUAAUCUACAUCUUCAAUGUUGCAACACCCUUGAUCUGGCUCUCUCACUACCUCUACAUGAUGAAGGUGAGCCUCCUAGCUGAGGUAGGGAGUUCCGUUUCGUGACAACUCAUCCUGACUUAGGAGAUAUCCCUUUAACGAAUCAUUAUCUACUCUGGUUUGUUGACAUGUCAUACCGUAGAGGUGAAAAAGGAAAUUUUCAGGCUGGUUGUUGUUAUUACUCAGUAUGACCUGCUGG